This 424-nucleotide ribosomal RNA is filed under the name uncultured organism. RNAcentral's name for it is "bacterial SSU rRNA". It matches the Rfam family "Bacterial small subunit ribosomal RNA", at positions 346 to 761 of the family's 1533-position model. The record is from RNAcentral.
GUGCAGCAGGCGAGAAUUUUUCUCAAUGGGCGAAAGCCUGAAGGAGCGACGCCGCGUGGGGGGAUGAAUGGCUUCGGCCCGUAAACCCCUGUCAUUUGCGAACAAAUUGACUCACCCAACACGUGUGUCAUUGAUUGUAGCGGAAGAGGAAGGGACGGCUAACUCUGUGCCAGCAGCCGCGGUAAUACAGAGGUCCCAAGCGUUGUUCGGAUUCACUGGGCGUAAAGGGUGCGUAGGCGGUUGGGUAAGUCUGACGUGAAAUCUCCGGGCCUAACCCGGAAACUGCGUUGGAUACUAUCCGGCUAGAGGAAUGGAGGGGAGACUGGAAUACUUGGUGCAGCAGUGAAAUGCGUAGAUAUCAAGUGGAACACCAGUGGCGAAGGCGAGUCUCUGGACAUUUCCUGACGCUGAGGCAACGAAAGCC